ACUGUGAGGGAGGGAACGACUCCCACAGGCCGCGGCGCGGGCCGAGGAGACCCGGCGACUCGAAGCUGGCGACGACGCGCGGCCCUACCUGGCCAACUCCCGCAGGGCGGGGAUCAUGGACGCCAGCUCCAGCCCGUGGUCGCCCAUGGUGACACCGAGCGGCUCUCAAAAGAGCCGCCGCCGGCGCCGGGCUUCUCCACAGUCGCCUCCAGAGGAGAGGGCGGAGCGUCAACGGGGCCCCGCGAGGUCCAAAACUCCUCCCGGAAGCCGCUCUGGGUUGCGGUUGGGUCCCUGGGGAAAUCCCAGAAGCGAUGGGGGCGGAACCGAUAGCGGAUGUGCCCGCCCACUUUCCCUCCCNGGCGAGUGCGUGACCUACUCCGCCNGUACUUUUUGCUCAAACCUGGAUGCUCAACGAAGCCGUACGCCAGGAUCUGGGUCGGAGAGGNACCUGACGACCCAACAAAGUUAGAUAUUUCACUAUGUUAGAAUGACAUAUUUAACUAGGUAAGGCCAUGCAGUAAUCCUUACAUUUGCUGUUUAGGGCACAAGGGUAAUCAUUGAUACAACCUCCAAAAAUAAAAUUAAAAAGUGGUGGAAUGGCAGCCAGAUGCGCUCUGACUGCAAGUUUGGAACCUGCUGUACUUUGAACACCCAUCCCUUUGCCCCGUUUCCUUCAGUGAUGCCCUGUGACGAGGAACUGUAAGCUGAAGCAAACCCUUUCCUCCCCAAGUCACUUUCCAUCAUCGUGUUCCAUCACAGCAAUAGAAACCUAACAUAGGACAGGCAACUCUGAAAACUAGUGUACCUGCUAAAAAGUAAGAAAAGCUAGCUAUUUUUAAAUCAUGUUGAGAAAGAUGACAAUAAUGACAGAGCUGAGGGCACAGCCCAGUGGAAGAGCACGGACCUAGCUCGUGAGGCUCCGGGCACAGAGGACCUAGAGUACUAAGCAAACUACAUUUAAACGAUUUUAAAAAAGAAGGCAUAGUUGCACAUGCCUACAAUCCCCUUACUUUGGGUAUAGAGGCAGAAGGAUCAAGAGUUCAAAGCCAUCCUUAGCUCUAGAAUGAGCUCAAGGGCAGUCUGGGAUACAGGGGAACCCUGUCUCAAAAAACAAAACAAAACCAAAAGCCACUANCACCACCANCAACAAAAACAACCCAGUAUGUCAUUCANCACUGAGGAGCACUGCAGCUCUGAAGUGCAGGACCCCAAACAGCAGAGCUCUGGCAAUUUAAUCCAAAAAGCAAUUUUUGAAACAAUUAUUUGUUUUUCACUUUACAUUCCAAUACCACCCCCUUCUCCUCCCAGUGCUGUUGGUGGGCCACCAUGGGUAGUCCACAUAUGUCCUAGGAUAUCUGUGAAUGUGAUCCAACACAACUGAGGGACAGCAUCAUCACCCAGUGUCAUGCUUGUGGAUCAAGAUGUAAGCANUCCACUAAUGUCCAGCACCAUGUCUGCCUGCCUGUUGCUUUGGUCUCUGCCAUAAGGGUCAUGGAUUCCAACCCUCUGAAACUGUAAGCAAGCCUCCAAUAAACUGUUAAUCUC
RNAcentral lists this long non-coding RNA (1545 nucleotides) under Mus caroli (Ryukyu mouse). RNAcentral's name for it is "RIKEN cDNA 1700065D16 gene (MGP_CAROLIEiJ_G0004223.1)". Lineage: Eukaryota; Metazoa; Chordata; Mammalia; Rodentia; Muridae. The record is from RNAcentral.